GACGAACGCUGGCGGUGUGCUUAACACAUGCAAGUCGAACGGUAAGGCCCUUUCGGGGGUACACGAGUGGCGAACGGGUGAGUAACACGUGAGUAACCUGCCCUCAUCUCUGGGAUAACAGUCGGAAACGGUUGCUAAUACUGGAUAUGAGCUUGCAAGGCAUCUUGUGGGUUGGAAAGAUUUUUUUUGGUUGGGGAUGGACUCGCGGCCUAUCAGCUUGUUGGUGAGGUAGUGGCUCACCAAGGCUUCGACGGGUAGCCGGCCUGAGAGGGCGACCGGCCACAUUGGGACUGAGAUACGGGCCAAACUCCUACGGGAGGCAGCAGUGGGGAAUAUUGCACAAUGGACGGAAGUCUGAUGCAGCAACGCCGCGUGCGGGAUGACGGCCUUCGGGUUGUAAACCGCUUUCAAUUGUGACGAAGCUUUUUUGUGACGGUAGCAGUAGAAGAAGCACCGGCUAACUACGUG
This 468-nucleotide ribosomal RNA is filed under the name uncultured bacterium. RNAcentral's name for it is "partial 16S ribosomal RNA". It matches the Rfam family "Bacterial small subunit ribosomal RNA", at positions 28 to 507 of the family's 1533-position model. The record is from RNAcentral.